This 407-nucleotide ribosomal RNA is filed under the name uncultured bacterium. RNAcentral describes it as "partial 16S ribosomal RNA". It matches the Rfam family "Bacterial small subunit ribosomal RNA", at positions 30 to 526 of the family's 1533-position model. The record is from RNAcentral.
AUUGAACGCUAGCGGGAUGCCUUACACAUGCAAGUCGAACGGAGUGGCGAACGGGCGAGUAAUGUAUCGGUCCGUGCCCAGCAGCGGGGGGUAACUACACGAAAGCGUAGCUAAUCUCGCAUACUCUUGGAGCGGUCGAUAUGGGCUUAGCUAGUUGGUGGGGUAAAGGAUGACCAAGGCGACGAUCCGUAGCUGGUUUGAGAGGACGACCAGCCACACUGGGACUGGGACACGGCCCAGACUCCUACGGGAGGAAGCAGUGGGGAAUUGUGGACAAUGGGAGAAAGCCUGAUGCAGCCAUGCCGCGUGUGCGAUGAAGGCCUUCGGGUUGUAAAGCACUUUUAGCAGGGAGGCGGUACCGGCAGAAGAAGCACCGGCUAACUACGUGCCAGCAGCCGCGGUAAUAC